AUGGAUCUAGCCCGCCGGGUUGAGACGCAGGCCCGCUGGCCGGACGGCAGCAACGUGCGUCCCCUCACCCGGUCCAUAUCCACAACUACUCCAGAUGGGAAACAGCACGGUGGCGACCGGGCCGCUCCCGGAGACUCUCACGGCGGCCGGCGUGCGAGCGUGUGCGCCUGUUCCUCUGAUGGGUGGGUUGGAUCUCUAUUUUAUGUUAUUAUUACAGAUGAUUUGCAUAAGGAAAACGAACAGAGAGUUUUUUUUUUAAAUCUUCUGUAUAUCACCGGAGGACAAAGCAAAAAGAGAAUCGUUGUUCAGAAGAUUCACCGGAGUACGGUUUUUAGGGUGUUUGGAUCCGUGGGAAUUUUUCCUAAAAGGAUGUGA
Molecule: ribosomal RNA, 375 nt
Filed under: Triticum aestivum (bread wheat)
Lineage: Eukaryota; Viridiplantae; Streptophyta; Magnoliopsida; Poales; Poaceae
Description: partial small subunit ribosomal RNA
Source: RNAcentral